CCUCAACGGAUUUGUAUUGAUCUCAAUUGAUUGUUCUUUCCUUACAAGACCGAAAGAAAUAUUUAUUCGCGUCAUGAAGUUCCUCACCGUUUUUUUGGUCGUUGCGAUGGUGUUGACGGCAGCUAGUGCCCAGUACCGAUGCCGCAGCCGAAGGGCGGGGUGCUCGUCCCAUUGGCAGUGCUGUUCGCAGAUAUGCCGCAGAAACAGAUGUGCCUAGUUGGAGACGCCUCCAGUUGGGGGAGAAGACAGUCCUGCUACGGGGGGAGAUGCCGAACGGGGGAAAACUACCCCCUAAAUCCUCCCCCGAGACAGUCGAUAUUUCUCUCGAUGGCAUAAGGAUCUUACUUAACGAUUCUUUCAUUUGUGCUUAUUAACACUUUCGAUGUGGAUUCAAUUAAAUAUUGAAUAUUGUGAUAAUAAGAUUUAUUGAAAUCGUA
This is a long non-coding RNA of Diachasmimorpha longicaudata, 437 nucleotides long. RefSeq lists it as uncharacterized. The transcript has 3 exons. The record is from RefSeq and is a predicted model, not a curated record. Lineage: Eukaryota; Metazoa; Arthropoda; Insecta; Hymenoptera; Braconidae.